CGGAUAUCUCGACUCGGGUGAUUAACGAUUGCAAAAGUAUUGUUUUGAGAUGGUUAGCAAGUAAACUUGAACCGUUACGUGCCAAAGAAGCCCUUAGAGGUUUAGCUAAUUGCAAUCUUAAUAAAGUUUGCCCAUUGGUUUUGCCAAAUGUCCGACCUGUCGCACAAGGUUGUGGAGAUGAGAUUAGCAACCAUACAUCAUGUUGUAAUGCAAUGGGAAGUUAUGUAUCUCACUUG
Molecule: long non-coding RNA, 236 nt
Organism: Helianthus annuus (common sunflower)
Lineage: Eukaryota; Viridiplantae; Streptophyta; Magnoliopsida; Asterales; Asteraceae
Exons: 2
Source: RefSeq, a predicted model, not a curated record